Molecule: ribosomal RNA, 161 nt
Filed under: Helotiales sp.
Lineage: Eukaryota; Fungi; Ascomycota; Leotiomycetes; Helotiales
Description: partial large subunit ribosomal RNA
Rfam family: Eukaryotic large subunit ribosomal RNA
Source: RNAcentral
CGGCAACAGCUCAAAUUUGAAAUCUGGCCUUUGGUCCGAGUUGUAAUUUGCAGAGGAUGCUUCGGGCGCGGUGCCUUCCAAGUCCCCUGGAACAGGACGUCAUAGAGGGUGAGAAUCCCGUAUGUGACUGGCUGCCUUCGCCUAUGUGAAGCUCUUUCGAC